Non-coding RNA from Cinara cedri, 229 nucleotides. NCBI's taxonomy places the organism in Eukaryota, Metazoa, Arthropoda, Insecta, Hemiptera, Aphididae. The record is from the annotation of a GenBank genome assembly.
AGUGUAACACCGAUAUUCAGUGAAAACUAACGAGUAUCUGAAAUGAUCUUAUUUUGCGAGUGAUUCUAGACAUAGUUCAUUUUUAAAAAAUAUUAAUGAACUUAAUGAUUAUUUUUCUGUUUUAUAAUUUGGACAUAGAUAAAAAAACAUGAUAUAUAUGAUUUUUGAUAUUUUAUCAACUAUGUGUUGAGUAAGUUUAGAUAAACGCUAAAAUCUGUCCGGAAUCACU